CCUACGGGGGGCAGCAGUGAGGAAUAUUGGUCAAUGGACGAGAGUCUGAACCAGCCAAGUAGCGUGAAGGAUGACUGCCCUAUGGGUUGUAAACUUCUUUUAUAUGGGAAUAAAAUGUUCCACGUGUGGGAUUUUGUAUGUACCAUAUGAAUAAGGAUCGGCUAACUCCGUGCCAGCAGCCGCGGUAAUACGGAGGAUCCGAGCGUUAUCCGGAUUUAUUGGGUUUAAAGGGAGCGUAGGUGGAUUGUUAAGUCAGUUGUGAAAGUUUGCGGCUCAACCGUAAAAUUGCAGUUGAAACUGGCAGUCUGGAGUACAGUAGAGGUAGGCGGAAUUCGUGGUGUAGCGGUGAAAUGCUUAGAUAUCACGAAGAACACCGAUUGCGAAGGCAGCUCACUGGACUGCAACUGACACUGAGGCUCGAAAGUGUGGGUAUCAAACAGGAUUAGAUACCCGGGUAGUC
RNAcentral lists this ribosomal RNA (460 nucleotides) under uncultured bacterium. RNAcentral describes it as "partial 16S ribosomal RNA". It matches the Rfam family "Bacterial small subunit ribosomal RNA", at positions 338 to 795 of the family's 1533-position model. The record is from RNAcentral.